GUGACUUAGCGCGCUCAGUCGCGACCUCGAUCGUGUUUCGCGUCGCCAGCGGUCAUACUUCCCCACUUGUUUCACUCCGCCUCUCAAGUUAAGGGGUGUUACAUGGGGGUAGCUGUGUUCUCCCCCCCCCCUACUUACCCCUCUGGCUGGAGGCGGGCUGUGUCGCAGUUGGAGGAGAGAGGCGGUCGUGGUGGGGCACUUUUGCUGAGACGUGAACUCUCGCACGAGGUUUCUGUUCGCUUCACGGCGUGAGCAAGUUUACUCACGCCGGCGCCCCCGGGGACUCCCGUGCGGUGGCCGUGCCCAGAUGCUGGCACCAACUUCCUUCAACCCGCGCAGCUGCCCGCGCAGGUGCCGCCGGAGGCUUUGGCUGCCUCCACAGGUGCGCGACGCUUGCGCCCCGGGUGCGGCGGGACCGUGCCCGACUGGUGCAGGUAAAUGUGUAAGGAAUGACGACUUCCCGAAUGAUCGAUCCAACGCCUCGCACCUCCACGCGCCGGUGGCCGCGCGGAUCGUCUCGUCGCCGCAGGAUCGUCGGUGAGGUGGCUCCGGCGGCAGUCUGGGGGGAGGGCCUUCGUCCAGCAGCGGAUUGAGCCUGGCUGAUGCUGGCGAAGACGACGAACGAAAUUACCGGGAAAGCCUCGCCGAGUCCCAAGGCUUCUUCUGUCAGGAGGAUCCCGCCGCUCCGUUGGGGAGGUCGUGGGUUCGAUCCUGACCCUGACGUCUGCUGCUGGAUAUUUGGAGUUUUCCUGUUCUCUCGCUCCCCGUGGUCGUCUUGGGCGGCGGAAUUUCCCUUUUACAUUCAGAAACACGCGUUUAGAGUAUUUGGCUGCGAUACAUUUCCAGGCCGGUCGACCGCGCGACACCUGCACCCUGGGGUCGCCAUCCUCGGGCCGCCGAUCUUCACCGCCGUCGACAUCUCUCCCCCACCCCCCACACCGCACCACCACCACCACCACAGAUCCUUCUGCUCCUGGGAGCUGGUUUCACGUGGUGGCUUAGACUGUGAUGUUCCUUCUCUAGCACCAUAUGAAAUCGGUGUCCCUGGAGUUGGACAUACUUCACUAGACGGCGAACAUUACGGCCGCGUCCGCGACAGCUGGCGACGUGCUGCGAGAGAUUCGGCCGCGAGCCGACCUCGGACCAGUUCGUCGGCGAGCGUUGACGGAGUACGCAGACUGCCAAGGGUAGCCCAGCAUUGUCGCAAGGCGCAUUGUCGCAGUGUGCAUCUAGAUAUACACACCGCCGUAGAAAGCCAAAAAAGUAAAUACAUUUCGCGAUUGCAUCCGGGCAAGACGAACGUGAUUAAGGUCCAAAUCGUACUGAUUGGUGAGCCGUGUGCACACACGCCUAGCCAAGAGCCAGCCCAGUGUGCUGAAAUGAUCCUCGCCAUCGUUACAGCUCAUCGGUGAGCCGCGCCAGCCUAGAGACCGUCAUUGAAGCAUUGGGGCGAGGAGUCCCCAGAUAAAUAAAAACUUUGCACCUGCCACACGGUCACACACAACCCCCGGCCGCAUGAGAAUCGUCAAAAGUUACACUGGCAUCAAUUGUGAUCCCCACAAGGUGGAAGCCAGCGGUGGGACCUAUCCGUGCGCGACCUUCAUUCUCGGUUGCCGCAGCCGCAUCGUCGUCGGUAAAGUGUGACAGCGUCGCUGGCAUUGCUGCCGACGCGUUUUGCGGCCUGCCAGAUGUGGCUCGGGGGGGGGGGCACGGGGUUCUUUGCAGCUCGAGGGGCAGCGUGCGGUUCUUGCCCACGGUCCUUCUCAAGGAAGUCGGGCGCGCGUACGUGGUUAUAUCAGUCGUGCCUGGUUACAUCAGUCAAGACUUUGUUGGCGAGCGGAGGGCCCUUGGCUACGGCAUUGCGGCGGUGAACUUCGCUCGGCAUCUGAGCUGCUCUUGCUGCUGGGACCAAGCCAGCCAGCCGCCUACGCCACCAAUACCCGGCCUCGCCGUGCCACCGCCGAACCUCGCCCCGUCAACACAGCCUCACCCAGGCCCACCACGGCGGCACUCAAGCUGGUAGUGCCCAGCCCCACCCAGAUGACUGAUUUCUCUUGGUGUUUAGAGUUCCGUAUGCCUGGUCUAGCACCAUUUGAAAUCAGUUAUGUGGAGAGGGUCUUUCUUCGUGUCCGGGCACUGGAUAGAGCCUGGCCAGGAAGCCGCUGCUCCAUUUGACUGCGUUGCACAACCUCCACGGUAAGUUUCCAGAACGAAGGACCACCGCCAACGCCACUGCUGGCACCACAGCUCCACUGCAGGUACCACCGGCAGUUGCGCAACCAGGUACACAUUUCAGACGGGAAAUAGUUUCUACCGAACCAAAUACAGAGUUUCUAAUUUCUGGAAACGCAAACAUGGGUAAAUGGCAAGACCAUACAAGCAUUUUGGGGGGGCAUCCGCAAUUGCCCCAAUUACCCCUCCCCAACCCCACCGUGUGCGCCCUGUGACCGCCGCGACGCUUCCAACGACCUUUGGCGCAAGCCGACGCCACCUUGGGCUCGCCGGGAUCUCGUUGGGCCGUGCACCCACACGCUGGGGUACGGAACGAAAACAUCGCCGGCGCUGCCGUGGCCAACAACCGCUGCCGCCGCCGCCGCCCUUCCCACGGCGCGCAAGCAAACAAGACGGGAGGAUCGGCGAGCCUGUCGGAGCGAGCAAGCACCGUCCCUUCUUGCCCGCGACGGCCGACGCCCCCUCUAAUCACCGGCCAAUUUGCAUGCGCGGCAAUUACGGCGCGUGCUCGCCCAGCGCCGUAGCCCGGUGCCGAGACAGGGCUAAGCUCGUGGGGACAGGGCUAAGCUCGUGGGGACAGGGCUAAGCUCGUGGGCUGGCCGCGUUCUUCGCGAGAAAUUAAUCUCGGGUUUGGCGCAACCGUCUUUGACCCGAAAUGCGAGAAAUGUUUUUUUAACCACUUCCCUGGGGGCAGGGUUGUAAUCUGCAAUGUUUGGAGGUUGCUGGAAUGUAAUGUUUCGGCAAAUCUUAAGAGCUGUCACGGUGGUGUAAUGAUUUAGCGCACCGGACUUGCAAUCCAGAAUUCCACUCGGGUUUGAUUCUUCUUCCAGUGCGGCACUCAAAAAGCAAUGGGAAAAGUUUUACGAAAUCCACUGCCGCGCCGCUCUUUGCCCGGCGGAAAUAAAUGGGUUCGCCGCGGUGCAUCAGCAGAUCGCGUGUGAUGGAUGGGGUAAUGUGCAGUUAUUUUAUGGUCCUUUAUAUACAGAUUUUUUUUAUGUAUGGCGCAUUAAGAUGCCUUCGAUUUGAAAAGCGCUUUAUAAAAUAAAAUUGUUAGCGUGGGUACGCACACCUUGUCCAACUCGCCCGGUCAGCGUAGACCAAACUCCCAGCAGGGUUCACGAGGACAGAGGUCCUCGAUUCCAGAGCUGAGCGAGCACUUGCAGGGCUGCGCCUUUACCCUUUGUAUUUUGAGUCGUAUCGGUCGAACGAUGCAGGUCGGUUUGAAACAAAUGGGAGCACUCGUUGCACACACAAAGUGCUUGCCACAAAUGAACCACCACAACACCUUCCUGAUCACAUCAAGGAGCAUAAGCCAUCACGUGAACUCCAGUCCAUCCUCAGCGGCUUGUGUCUCGCCAUCGAAUAAAGAUGCUCACUGCGUCGCGCUCUUUGAGAUGCGCCUCUGUGGCCGUCCGGAACGCUCUUCCGAGAUGAAGCCACCGGAGCUACGCACAUUCAAAUGUAGAUUGAACUCAUUUCCUGAGAACUGACUUUUGUGUUUAGUUUGUUGUCCUUCCCCACACACCUCCAAGGAGCACGGUUGGUUGCGUACGGUGCGAAAGAAGUUCAGUAUACACGACUUUGCCAACCUGUCCACCGAAGCCCUCGCAAACGGUGGUGGGGGGGGGGUAGUUUUAACACCGAUUAUAACUUCAUACCAUACGCUGUUGUUGAAAAGUGUCGCUCUUGAAAUAAAAGGUCGCCACCCCCCACCCCCCC
This is a non-coding RNA of Petromyzon marinus (sea lamprey), 3951 nucleotides long. The record is from RefSeq and is a predicted model, not a curated record. Lineage: Eukaryota; Metazoa; Chordata; Hyperoartia; Petromyzontiformes; Petromyzontidae.